RNAcentral lists this ribosomal RNA (407 nucleotides) under uncultured bacterium. RNAcentral describes it as "partial 16S ribosomal RNA". It matches the Rfam family "Bacterial small subunit ribosomal RNA", at positions 28 to 526 of the family's 1533-position model. The record is from RNAcentral.
GACGAACGCUGGCGGCGGGCCUAAUACAUGCAAGUAGGGCGCAGUUGCGAGCGGGUGAUUAACGCGUAGGUAACUGCCUAUGAGAGGGAGAGAACGAUUGGAAACGAUAGCUAAUACCGCCUACUCAUAGAUGGAUCUGCGUUGUAUUAGCUAGUAGGUAGGGUAAUGGCCUACCUAGGCGGCGGUACAUAGCCGAGCUGAGAGGGGGAUCGGCCCACAUGGGAACGAGAACAGGUCCAGAAUUCCUACGGAGGGAGCAGUAGGGAAUCUUUGGAAAUGGGGGGAACCCCGACCGCGCAAAGCCGCGUGAGUUAAGAAGGUCUUCGGAGUGUAAAGCUCUGUUGAGAAGGAAGCGGUACUUAAACAGAAAGGGACGGCUAACUCCGUGCCAGCAGCCGCGGUAAUUC